Molecule: ribosomal RNA, 301 nt
Filed under: uncultured bacterium
Lineage: Bacteria
Description: partial 16S ribosomal RNA
Rfam family: Bacterial small subunit ribosomal RNA
Source: RNAcentral
CAGCCGCCGCGGGAAUACGUAGGCGGCAAGCGUUGUCCGGAAUUAUUGGGCGUAAAGGGAGCGCAGGUGGGACGGUAAGUCCGUCUUAAAAGGCAGGGGCUCAGCCCCUGUAAGGGAUGGAAACUAUCGAUCUUGAGUGCCGGAGAGGAAAGCGGAAUUCCCAGUGUAGCGGUGAAAUGCGUAGAUAUUGGGAAGAACACCAGUGGCGAAGGCGGCUUUCUGGACGGCAACUGACACUGAGGCUCGAAAGCCAGGGGAGCGAACGGGAUUAGAUACCCCAGUAGUCCCUGUCUCUUAUACA